CAGCGGCUGCUUUACCAUGCAAGUCGAACGGCAGCGGGGGCUUCGGCCUGCCGGCGAGUGGCGAACGGGUGAGUAAUGCAUCGGAACGUGCCCAGUCAUGGGGGAUAACUACGCGAAAGCGUAGCUAAUACCGCAUACGCCCUGAGGGGGAAAGUGGGGGAUCUUCGGACCUCACGUGAUUGGAGCGGCCGAUGUCAGAUUAGCUAGUUGGUGAGGUAAAGGCUCACCAAGGCGACGAUCUGUAGCGGGUCUGAGAGGAUGAUCCGCCACACUGGGACUGAGACACGGCCCAGACUCCUACGGGAGGCAGCAGUGGGGAAUUUUGGACAAUGGGCGCAAGCCUGAUCCAGCCAUGCCGCGUGAGUGAAGAAGGCCUUCGGGUUGUAAAGCUCUUUCGCAAGGGAAGAAAACGUGUGGGCUAAUAUCCUGCGCGGAUGACGGUACCUUGACAAGAAGCACCGGCUAACUACGUGCCAGCAGCCGCGGUAAUACGUAGGGUGCGAGCGUUAAUCGGAAUUACUGGGCGUAAAGCGUGCGCAGGCGGUUGUGUAAGACAGGUGUGAAAUCCCCGGGCUUAACCUGGGAACUGCGCUUGUGACUGCACGGCUAGAGUACGGCAGAGGGGGGUGGAAUUCCUGGUGUAGCAGUGAAAUGCGUAGAUAUCAGGAGGAACACCGAUGGCGAAGGCAGCCCCCUGGGCCUGUACUGACGCUCAUGCACGAAAGCGUGGGGAGCAAACAGGAUUAGAUACCCUGAUAGUCCACGCCCUAAACGAUGUCAACUAGUGUUUCGUAGAGGUAACUCUGUGAGUAACGCAGCU
Molecule: ribosomal RNA, 820 nt
Filed under: uncultured Azoarcus sp.
Lineage: Bacteria; Pseudomonadati; Pseudomonadota; Betaproteobacteria; Rhodocyclales; Zoogloeaceae
Description: bacterial SSU rRNA
Rfam family: Bacterial small subunit ribosomal RNA
Source: RNAcentral